RNAcentral lists this ribosomal RNA (253 nucleotides) under uncultured bacterium. RNAcentral describes it as "partial 16S ribosomal RNA". It matches the Rfam family "Bacterial small subunit ribosomal RNA", at positions 524 to 776 of the family's 1533-position model. The record is from RNAcentral.
UACGAAGGGGGCUAGCGUUGCUCGGAAUCACUGGGCGUAAAGGGUGCGUAGGCGGCUCUUUAAGUCAGGGGUGAAAUCCUGGAGCUCAACUCCAGAACUGCCUUUGAUACUGAAGAUCUUGAGUUCGGGAGAGGUGAGUGGAACUGCGAGUGUAGAGGUGAAAUUCGUAGAUAUUCGCAAGAACACCAGUGGCGAAGGCGGCUCACUGGCCCGGUACUGGCGCUGAGGCACGAAAGCGUGGGGAGCAAACAGG